UUUCCGUAGGUGAACCUGCGGAAGGAUCAUUCAUAAUAAAGUGCUUUAUGGCACUUUUUAAAAAUCCAUAUCCACCUUGUGUGCAAUGUUAGAUCUCGUCAAUCUUGGCGAGAUUUUUAUACAUCAACUCAUUUUUUAACUAAUUUGUCUGAAAAAUAUUAUGAAUACUUAAUUCAAAAUACAACUUUCAACAACGGAUCUCUUGGCUCUC
Molecule: unclassified non-coding RNA, 211 nt
Filed under: plant metagenome
Description: partial contains small subunit ribosomal RNA, internal transcribed spacer 1, and 5.8S ribosomal RNA
Source: RNAcentral